Non-coding RNA from Delphinapterus leucas (beluga whale), 1587 nucleotides. NCBI's taxonomy places the organism in Eukaryota, Metazoa, Chordata, Mammalia, Artiodactyla, Monodontidae. The record is from RefSeq and is a predicted model, not a curated record.
CUUAUCUCCUGCGGUUCACCAUCCUGUAUUUAGAAGACGCUUCAGAUAAACGAAUUACACAUUAGCAUGGGCUCUGCUUCCAGAUAUCUUUGUACAACCUGUUCCUUCUGGCCAGAGAGGUCCUCUUGCUUCUUCUCCUUCCCUACUUCUUCACCAGCCAGGCUAGCCCACAAAACAUUCCUACACACACACACAUACACACACACAAGUUCUCGCUGCUUUCUUUUCUCAAGACUUAUCUUCUACAUGCCAACUGGUAUCCCAGGGUUCUUUGUAAUAUAGCCAUCACCUCCUUGAAUACUGGAGCUGUGUACCACCAUUUGGGUACCCCUUCUCACCCUGCUACACGUGGCACAGUGCAUAUUGCACAUGGAGUGACCCAUCCUUCAUUUGAAGCUACCCUUUUUUUGGAAAACUAUUCUAGCCCAUAUGAAUUAAUCUCUGUAUGCCUUUUUAACAAUGAGGAAAAUGUCAAUGCAGGUGAGUGUCACUCUUACCAGGGUUAAUGAGGCAUUAACCCCAGUAACAGCCAAGCAAACCAGGUGCUUAAAAAUCCUGAGGAGGGGUAUAAGGGGGAAAAAAAGAAAAGAAGCCUAAAUACAAGUGGACUUUUAGAAUAGACCUUGGGAAAGGAGAUGCUGAGAGAAAGCAAAUCCAGGUCUUUUAACUGUCUUCCUGUGUCUGUUAGGAGGGAGAAAGCUCACAUCCAAAUAAGGGGGACCGAGGGACUUCCCUGGCGGUCCAGUGCUUAGGACUCCGCGCUUUCACUGCCGAGGGUGCAGGUUCAGUCCCCGGUCGGGGAACUAAAAUCCCACAAGCCAAGUGGCCAAGAAAGAACCCCACAAAUAAGGGGAACCGAGCAUGUGUGCGUCAGCACAAAAUUAGCAUGGGCAGAGCUAAGGCUAUCAGACAAAUUGGAAUUGCAGGCUGAGUCGGUUAAAAACAGUCUGCACUUGGUUGUUUGUCCUUUUUAAGCACGCACAGAUUUCUUCUGGGACAGUAGUAGGAACCAGCAGACGAAGCGUAAUAACUGCAAGUCUUAAACUCAGAAAGACCAAGAACACCUGGCUCAAGGAAAAGACAGAAAAAUUAUGGCCCUCCUUUACCAUAAAGGAUGCAACUUCUAAGCAUUAACUUGAAGCCCAAGGAAGAACAGAUCGCCUGAGCAAGAGAUGGAAAAUGAUCCUACCUGCACUUGGAAUAAGAUUUAAAUUAGCAGAGAAACUGGAUUUAUUGUCUUCUUGGGCAUGGCACUGCUUCCCAAUUCUAUUAUCUGGUGUUAUAAGAGGUAAGAAGAUAUGGAAAAUGUACAGAACGUGAACAGAACUUUAAGAGUAUUCAUCAAGAGUAUGAAGAUACAUCAUUUAUAAAAACACCACCACGGUCAAAAGACAUUAGCCAGUACAAAACUAAGGGUACUACAGGUGUCAAUACCUAUGUGUAGUUAAUUCAGUACCUUGCAUUAUUCUAUAGCCAUCAAUUCUGCUUUGUAUCAUUCUGUAUUCAUCGAUUUUCUGCAUUUUCAUAAGCCAUAAAUAAAAAUUUGUUUCCCUUUUUCAUGCCUGUUCUCCCAAAAACAACCUUCUA